Gossypium raimondii (Peruvian cotton) is the source of this 145-nucleotide non-coding RNA. The record is from Rfam. Lineage: Eukaryota; Viridiplantae; Streptophyta; Magnoliopsida; Malvales; Malvaceae.
UGUUAAAAAUUUCAUCUAUUUUUAUUGUUAAAAACUGGCAUGACUGGCAGAAUAACAAGAUAGUUAUACAUAACAUGCCACAUGUACCUCGUUCUGAUGUAUAGUGACCAGUUUUUAUCGGUAGAAAUGAAUGAAUUUUUUAUCA